AAAUCAGGUAAGACUACCCGCUGAACUUAAGCAUAUCAA
This 39-nucleotide ribosomal RNA is filed under the name Thanatephorus cucumeris. RNAcentral describes it as "partial 28S ribosomal RNA". The record is from RNAcentral. Lineage: Eukaryota; Fungi; Basidiomycota; Agaricomycetes; Cantharellales; Ceratobasidiaceae.